UUAAGUUUCGACUGAAUUCCAUUGUGCUUCUAUUUCCAACCAAGCUGAACUUGUGUCUGACACUUGUUAAAAAAUUGGGAAUCAAGAAACUUUCUUUUCCUCUGAUGUCGAAAGCUGCUGAUUCCUUGUCUAAGAUGUGUCCGUUUAAAAAACAAAAAACCAAAGCUAGCUGCUGAUUAAUCAAUGUCUGCUAUGUGCCGUUGUCAUCAUCUCACAGCUGUACUUAUCGUCAGCAGAGGCCCUAGGAAGCUGACCAGCAGAGCAUCAGUACGCAACAGCGGUGACCUUGAUAGCUACAAGUGGAGAUGGAUCUUUGAGCUAUCAGAUGGAAGGCUGUCUCUGCAGACCCACACUGGAUUCUACAUAAAUAAGAAGUAUAAGUGUAACUUCGUUGUGCUAAGUCACUGAGCUUUUCGGAUUUGUUUGUUAUUGCAGCAUAGCUUAACAUUGCUCUGACUAAUGCCAUAUACAAACCUUAAACAUGUGCAAGGGUUUAUUUCUUCAUCUGCCCACACCCAAGAAUUGCUUUCCUAAAAACUUAAAAUGUAUAUAAAUUAUAUGUGUUUAUUAUGGAAAAUUAUGAAAUACAAAUAAACAGAAAAGAAGAAAGUAAAAAUCAUCUAUAAUCCUCUUGGUCAGAGUUAUCUACUGUUAACAUUUUCAUGUCUACACAUCAUGUUUUUUCUAUGUAUAUAGAAAUAUAAAUUUAUGUAUAUAUGCACAUAAACUUAUAUGUGUGUUUACAUAUUAUUGUAGAACCUACUUUUUUUUGAGAGAGGAAGAGAGCGUCUCUCUCUGUCACCCAGGCUGGAGUGUAAUAGAGUGAGCACAGCUCACUGCAGCUUCGACUGUCUGGUCUCAAGCAAUCUUCCCGCCUCAGCCUCUUGAGUAGCUGAGAUAGCUGAGACUACAGGCAUGCACCACCAUACCCGGCUAAUUUUUGUAUUUUUUGUAGAGAUGGGGUCUUGCCAUGUUGCCAAGGCAACUUCUGGGCUCAAGCUGUCCGCCCGCCUCGGCCUCCCAGAGUGCUGGGAUUACAGGCGUGAGCCACUGCGCCUGGCCACAACCUACUUUUUUAUUUGACAAAAUAUUCUGUUAAUUUUCUCAAAGCAAUAAAUACUAUUCUAGAACUCAAUUUUUUUAAUUUUUUUUUCUGAGACAGAGUCUUGCUCUGUCGGCCAGGCUAGAGUGCAGUGGUGCGAUUUCACUGUAACCUCCCCCUCCCGGGUUCAAGCAAUUCUCCUGCCUCAGCCUCCUGAGUAGGUAGGAUUACAGGCUUAUGCCACACAUGCCAGGCUAAUUUUUGUAUUUUUAGUAGAGACAGGGUUUCACCAUGUUGGCCGGGCUGGUCUAGAACUCCUGACCUCAUGAUCCACCCGCCUCAGCCUCCCAACAUGCUGGGAUUACAGGUGUGAGCCACCGCGCCCAGCCUAGAA
RNAcentral lists this long non-coding RNA (1436 nucleotides) under Homo sapiens (human). RNAcentral's name for it is "HSALNT0183308". The record is from RNAcentral. Lineage: Eukaryota; Metazoa; Chordata; Mammalia; Primates; Hominidae.